AACGAACGCUGGCGGCAUGCCUAACACAUGCAAGUCGAACGAAGCCUUCGGGCUUAGUGGCGCACGGGUGCGCAACGCGUGGGAAUCUGCCCUUGGGUUCGGAAUAACAGUUAGAAAUGACUGCUAAUACCGGAUGAUGUCUUCGGACCAAAGAUUUAUCGCCCAAGGAUGAGCCCGCGUAGGAUUAGGUAGUUGGUGGGGUAAUGGCCCACCAAGCCAACGAUCCUUAGCUGGUCUGAGAGGAUGAUCAGCCACACUGGGACUGAGACACGGCCCAGACUCCUCGGGGAGGCAGGAGGGGGGAAUAUUGGACAAGGGGCGAAAGCCUGACACACCAAUGCCGCGAGAGUGUGGAGGCCUUAGGUUUGUAAAGCUCUUUUACCAGGGAUAAUAAUGACAGUACCUGGAGAAUAGGCUCCGGCUAACCCCGUCCCAGCACCCGCGGUAA
This 448-nucleotide ribosomal RNA is filed under the name uncultured bacterium. RNAcentral's name for it is "partial 16S ribosomal RNA". It matches the Rfam family "Bacterial small subunit ribosomal RNA", at positions 29 to 523 of the family's 1533-position model. The record is from RNAcentral.